UGGGGAAUAUUGCGCAAUGGGGGAAACCCUGACGCAGCAACGCCGCGUGAAUGAUGAAGGCCUUCGGGUUGUAAAGUUCUGUCUUCUGGGACGAUAAUGACGGUACCAGAGGAGGAAGCCACGGCUAACUACGUGCCAGCAGCCGCGGUAAUACGUAGGUGGCAAGCGUUGUCCGGAUUUACUGGGCGUAAAGGAUGCGUAGGCGGACAUUUAAGUCAGAUGUGAAAUACCCGAGCUUAACUUGGGUGCUGCAUUUGAAACUGGGUGUCUAGAGUGCAGGAGAGGUAAGUGGAAUUCCUAGUGUAGCGGUGAAAUGCGUAGAGAUUAGGAAGAACACCAGUGGCGAAGGCGACUUACUGGACUGUAACUGACGCUGAGGCAUGAAAGCGUGGGGAGCAAACA
RNAcentral lists this ribosomal RNA (402 nucleotides) under uncultured Clostridium sp. Its description in RNAcentral is "bacterial SSU rRNA". It matches the Rfam family "Bacterial small subunit ribosomal RNA", at positions 355 to 774 of the family's 1533-position model. The record is from RNAcentral. RNAcentral also lists the same sequence under 1 other name. Lineage: Bacteria; Bacillati; Bacillota; Clostridia; Eubacteriales; Clostridiaceae.